Molecule: ribosomal RNA, 1276 nt
Filed under: metagenome
Description: bacterial LSU rRNA
Rfam family: Bacterial large subunit ribosomal RNA
Source: RNAcentral
UGUGGGCAGGAUGAAAAUUCUAAGGCGCUUGAGAGAACUCAGGAGAAGGAACUCGGCAAAUUAACACCGUAACUUCGGGAGAAGGUGUGCCCCGGUAGCGUGUAGAGACUUGCUCUCGAAGCGCGAUGGGGUUGCAGUGAAAUGGUGGCUGCGACUGUUUAAUAAAAACACAGCACUCUGCAAACACGAAAGUGGACGUAUAGGGUGUGACGCCUGCCCGGUGCCGGAAGGUUAAGUGAUGGGGUGCAAGCUCUUGAUCGAAGCCCCGGUAAACGGCGGCCGUAACGAUAACGGUCCUAAGGUAGCGAAAUUCCUUGUCGGGUAAGUUCCGACCUGCACGAAUGGCGUAACGAUGGCCACACUGUCUCCUCCUGGGACUCAGCGAAGUUGAAAUGUUUGUGAAGAUGCAAUCUACCCGCGGCUAGACGGAAAGACCCCAUGAACCUUUACUGUAGCUUUGCAUUGGACUUUGAACCGGUUUGUGUAGGAUAGGUGGGAGACUGUGAAGCCGGGACGCUAGUCUCGGUGGAGUCAACCUUGAAAUACCACCCUGAUUUGUUUGAGGUUCUAACCUUGGUCCGUGAAUCCGGAUCGGGGACCGUGCAUGGUAGGCAGUUUGACUGGGGCGGUCUCCUCCCAAAAGGUAACGGAGGAGUACGAAGGUACGCUUAGGGCGGUCGGACAUCGCCCACAAAGUGCAAUGGCAAAAGCGUGCUUGACUGCGAGACCCACAAGUCGAGCAGGUACGAAAGUAGGUCAUAGUGAUCCGGUGGUUCUGUAUGGAAGGGCCAUCGCUCAACUGAUAAAAGGUACUCUGGGGAUAACAGGCUAAUUCCUCCCAAGAGUUCAUAUCGACGGGGGAGUUUGGCACCUCGAUGUCGGCUCAUCACAUCCUGGGGCUGUAGUCGGUCCCAAGGGUAUGGCUGUUCGCCAUUUAAAGUGGUACGCGAGCUGGGUUUAAAACGUCGUGAGACAGUUUGGUCCCUAUCUGCCGUGGGCGCUGGAAAUUUGAAGGGGGCUGCUCCUAGUACGAGAGGACCGGAGUGGACGAACCUCUGGUGUACCGGUUAUGACGCCAGUCGUAUCGCCGGGUAGCUAAGUUCGGAAGAGAUAAACGCUGAAAGCAUCUAAGCGUGAAACUCGCCUUAAGAUAAGAUUUCCCGGAGUCUUGAACUCCCUGAAGGGUCGUCGAAGACCACGACGUUGAUAGGUCAGGUGUGGAAGCGCAGCAAUGCGUUAAGCUAACUGAUACUAAUUGCCCGUGCGGCUUGAUCAA